RNAcentral lists this ribosomal RNA (496 nucleotides) under uncultured bacterium. RNAcentral's name for it is "partial 16S ribosomal RNA". It matches the Rfam family "Bacterial small subunit ribosomal RNA", at positions 28 to 506 of the family's 1533-position model. The record is from RNAcentral.
GAUGAACGCUGGCGGCGUGCCUAAUACAUGCAAGUCGAGCGAACAGACGAGGAGCUUGCUCCUCUGACGUUAGCGGCGGACGGGUGAGUAACACGUGGAUAACCUACCUAUAAGACUGGGAUAACUUCGGGAAACCGGAGCUAAUACCGGAUAAUAUAUUGAACCGCAUGGUUCAAUAGUGUAAGACGGUUUUGCUGUCACUUAUAGAUGGAUCCGCGCCGCAUUAGCUAGUUGGUAAGGUAACGGCUUACCAAGGCGACGAUGCGUAGCCGACCUGAGAGGGUGAUCGGCCACACUGGAACUGAGACACGGUCCAGACUCCUACGGGAGGCAGCAGUAGGGAAUCUUCCGCAAUGGGCGAAAGCCUGACGGAGCAACGCCGCGUGAGUGAUGAAGGUCUUCGGAUCGUAAAACUCUGUUAUUAGGGAAGAACAAAUGUGUAAGUAACUAUGCACGUCUUGACGGUACCUAAUCAGAAAGCCACGGCUAACUACGU